This 464-nucleotide ribosomal RNA is filed under the name uncultured Klebsiella sp. Its description in RNAcentral is "bacterial SSU rRNA". It matches the Rfam family "Bacterial small subunit ribosomal RNA", at positions 339 to 795 of the family's 1533-position model. The record is from RNAcentral. Lineage: Bacteria; Pseudomonadati; Pseudomonadota; Gammaproteobacteria; Enterobacterales; Enterobacteriaceae.
CUACGGGAGGCAGCAGUGGGGAAUAUUGCACAAUGGGCGCAAGCCUGAUGCAGCCAUGCCGCGUGUGUGAAGAAGGCCUUCGGGUUGUAAAGCACUUUCAGCGGGGAGGAAGGCGUUAAGGUUAAUAACCUUGUCGAUUGACGUUACCCGCAGAAGAAGCACCGGCUAACUCCGUGCCAGCAGCCGCGGUAAUACGGAGGGUGCAAGCGGUAAUCGGAAUUACUGGGCGUAAAGCGCACGCAGGCGGUCUGUCAAGUCGGAUGUGAAAUCCCCGGGCUCAACCUGGGAACUGCAUUCGAAACGGGCAGGCUAGAGUCGUGUAGAGGGGGGUAGAAUUCCAGGGGGAGCGGUGAAAUGCGUAGAGAUCUGGAGGAAUACCGGUGGCGAAGGCGGCCCCCUGGACAAAGACUGACGCGCAGGUGCGAAAGCGUGGGGAGCAAACAGGAUUAGAGACCCGAGUAGUC